AUGAACGCUGGCGGCGUGCCUAAUCCCUGCAAGUCGAGCGCACAGACGAGGAGCUUGCUCCUCUGACGUUAGCGGCGGACGGGUGAGUAACACGUGGAUAACCUACCUAUAAGACUGGGAUAACUUCGGGAAACCGGAGCUAAUACCGGAUAACAUGUUGAACCGCAUGGUUCAACAGUGAAAGACGGUUUUGCUGUCACUUAUAGAUGGAUCCGCGUCGCAUUAGCUAGUUGGUAAGGUAACGGCUUACCAAGGCAACGAUGCGUAGCCGACCUGAGAGGGUGAUCGGCCACACUGGAACUGAGACACGGUCCAGACUCCUACGGGAGGCAGCAGUAGGGAAUCUUCCGCAAUGGGCGAAAGCCUGACGGAGCAACGCCGCGUGAGUGAAGAAGGUCUUCGGAUCGUAAAACUCUGUUAUUAGGGAAGAACAAAUGUGUAAGUAACUAUGCACGUCUUGACGGUACCUAAUCAGAAAGCCACGGCUAACUACGUG
This 496-nucleotide ribosomal RNA is filed under the name uncultured bacterium. RNAcentral describes it as "partial 16S ribosomal RNA". It matches the Rfam family "Bacterial small subunit ribosomal RNA", at positions 29 to 507 of the family's 1533-position model. The record is from RNAcentral.